UCGGCUUCAAGGCUGUUCCGCAAGUCGAUUUACUUACAGACCCUUCUUCAAAUGCGGCGGUCACCUGUGACCCAUUCAUAACUCCCUCAGCCACUAGACGACAAAAGAAGCCCUGAGUUUAGGCUGACUGAGAUUUUCAUUCUAGCUUUGCUAUACAUUUGGGCAAGCUUUACUUUGGGGAAAGGAAAGAAAAAUCAGCAGCUCUCAUCUCCUGGAGGCACAGUGGCUUGUCCUCCACAGUCCCCUCGGUUUGCUGACUGACUGGAGGAGAGAGAGCACCUGCAGAAGCCCUGCGACUCCUCCCCCAGAUAAUUCAUAAAGAAAUGAUGGGGAAAACACAUCAAAGAUAGAGUGAAUAAAGCAAACGUGCCACAUAUACAC
Molecule: long non-coding RNA, 381 nt
Filed under: Pan paniscus (pygmy chimpanzee)
Lineage: Eukaryota; Metazoa; Chordata; Mammalia; Primates; Hominidae
Description: lncRNA (ENSPPAG00000044766.1)
Source: RNAcentral